CCGUAGCUCUAGGAGCAGCUUCCUCCCUCCUCUCUGUGUUUAGCUGCCUGUUGCUAAUUUAGCUGCAGUGUAUUUAGGCACGGCAAGCAUGCUUCAGAAUAAGCUCGUGCUUCCUUGGUAAUUGGAUCAUAUUACUGCAGGAAGUGCUGCUGGGCGGUUAGCUGAAAACUUUGGCGCACGUGCUUCUUCUUUGGGCUGACGGGUUAUUCUCUUGGAAGAUUUCUUCUUUCACUUCUCUUACACUUGGGUUGCUGUGAUGGACUCACUCCUAUUUGAGGUUUUGUAGUUGUGUUUGAGUGUAUAGUUUGUUUAUUCUCCAUCGUGAACCUAGUCAAAAUGGUAUCUGUGCUAAGUUUAACUGUCAAGUGGUGAUUUUCCCAGCCAGUUAAACUUACUGGGUUUUUAAUAUGUUAAAUAUUAGCUUAUUUCUAUUCUUUAAGAUAAAUGUCAAGUUGCUUAUUAAAUAUUUAUGUUUAUUUUUUGUACAUGUCUUUGAACUUUUAGUAAAUCUGUUACCUGAACCUCAUUUCACAUCUGACUAUCUCAUUUCACAUCAUUUCACGUCUUAUUCUGUUUACGUUUUUCUCCUUUUCACUGGAUCCUCUGAAUUUCGAGAUCAAUUAAGUGACGCAAUGAGAAAAAUGCUACCUUUAAGCUAAUGCUACAGCGGGAAACUGGCGUCCCAGCGCAACUGCAGAGAUCGACAGGGGACUAUUUUUGGCACAACACCAGCAAACUCCAGCUGUAAGUUUACAUCAUAAAUACAACAGUUAGUUCCGACCUCACAAUCUGAUUGGAUGAAGUGUUCGAACCGUGCUCAGAGCCGUAGAGAUCAAUAUUUAGAACUAGGCCUGAGCUCCUAUGGAUGAAGGUAAAUGUCUAUCCAAUU
This is a long non-coding RNA of Astyanax mexicanus (Mexican tetra), 889 nucleotides long. RefSeq lists it as uncharacterized. The record is from RefSeq and is a predicted model, not a curated record. Lineage: Eukaryota; Metazoa; Chordata; Actinopteri; Characiformes; Acestrorhamphidae. The transcript has 2 exons.